AAUAACGUGUCGCGAUGGAUGACUUGGCUUCUAUCUCGUUGAAGAACGCAGUAAAGUGCGAUAAGUGGUAUCA
Molecule: ribosomal RNA, 73 nt
Filed under: Crithidia fasciculata
Lineage: Eukaryota; Euglenozoa; Kinetoplastea; Trypanosomatida; Trypanosomatidae
Description: partial 5.8S ribosomal RNA
Rfam family: 5.8S ribosomal RNA
About the family: 5.8S ribosomal RNA (5.8S rRNA) is a component of the large subunit of the eukaryotic ribosome.
Source: RNAcentral